RNAcentral lists this ribosomal RNA (402 nucleotides) under bacterium. RNAcentral's name for it is "partial 16S ribosomal RNA". It matches the Rfam family "Bacterial small subunit ribosomal RNA", at positions 355 to 776 of the family's 1533-position model. The record is from RNAcentral.
UGGGGAAUUUUGCACAAUGGGGGAAACCCUGAUGCAGCGACGCCGCGUGAUUUAGAAGGCCUUCGGGUUGUAAAAAUCUUUUCUAUGGGAAGAAAAUGACAGUACCAUAGGAAUAAGGACUGGCUAAUUACGUGCUAGCAGCCGCGGUAAUACGUAAGGUCCGAGCGUUGUCUGGAAUCAUUGGGCGUAAAGGGUACGUAGGCGGGUAAGCAAGUUAGAAGUGAAAUCGUAUAGCUCAACUAUAGUAAGCUUUUAAAACUGCUCAUCUCGAGGUAUGGAAGGGAAAGUGGAAUUCCGGGUGUGGCGGUGAAAUGCGCAGAUAUUAGGAGGAAUACCGGUGGCGAAGGCGACUUUCUGGCCAUAACCUGACGCUGAGGUACGAAAGCGUGGGUAGCAAACAGG